AGCCAUAUUAAUUGCUUGACCGUCUAAGAGAUAGACACACAAAGUAAAACAAGGUAUAUUUCUGAGGAAGCAUUGUUCAACUCACCCCAGCCCACUCUCCAAGAGUUUUGGCGCUAGGCACAGUAACCAGGUGGACAUUGUGCUCAGCGCAGAGAGCCUUCACCAGCUUGACAUAAUCAGGCUGGUCGCAGUCCUCGGCAAGCACGCAGAGCUGAGCGGCAUGCUUCUCGAUGGCUUUGGCAGCC
This 245-nucleotide long non-coding RNA is filed under the name Zea mays. Its description in RNAcentral is "long non-coding RNA (ZMAY_LNC004089)". Lineage: Eukaryota; Viridiplantae; Streptophyta; Magnoliopsida; Poales; Poaceae. The record is from RNAcentral.